This 1546-nucleotide ribosomal RNA is filed under the name Salmonella enterica subsp. enterica serovar Enteritidis. RNAcentral describes it as "partial 23S ribosomal RNA". It matches the Rfam family "Bacterial large subunit ribosomal RNA", at positions 1292 to 2821 of the family's 2925-position model. Lineage: Bacteria; Pseudomonadati; Pseudomonadota; Gammaproteobacteria; Enterobacterales; Enterobacteriaceae. The record is from RNAcentral.
GAAUGCUGACAUAAGUAACGAUAAAGCGGGUGAAAAGCCCGCUCGCCGGAAGACCAAGGGUUCCUGUCCAACGUUAAUCGGGGCAGGGUGAGUCGACCCCUAAGGCGAGGCCGAAAGGCGUAGUCGAUGGGAAACGGGUUAAUAUUCCCGUACUUGGUGUUACUGCGAAGGGGGGACGGAGAAGGCUAUGUUGGCCGGGCGACGGUUGUCCCGGUUUAAGCGUGUAGGUGUGUGUUCCAGGUAAAUCCGGUUCACUUUAACACUGAGGCGUGACGACGAGGCACUACGGUGCUGAAGCAACAAAUGCCCUGCUUCCAGGAAAAGCCUCUAAGCAUCAGGUAACAUCAAAUCGUACCCCAAACCGACACAGGUGGUCAGGUAGAGAAUACCAAGGCGCUUGAGAGAACUCGGGUGAAGGAACUAGGCAAAAUGGUGCCGUAACUUCGGGAGAAGGCACGCUGACACGUAGGUGAAGUGAUUUACUCAUGGAGCUGAAGUCAGUCGAAGAUACCAGCUGGCUGCAACUGUUUAUUAAAAACACAGCACUGUGCAAACACGAAAGUGGACGUAUACGGUGUGACGCCUGCCCGGUGCCGGAAGGUUAAUUGAUGGGGUCAGCGCAAGCGAAGCUCCUGAUCGAAGCCCCGGUAAACGGCGGCCGUAACUAUAACGGUCCUAAGGUAGCGAAAUUCCUUGUCGGGUAAGUUCCGACCUGCACGAAUGGCGUAAUGAUGGCCAGGCUGUCUCCACCCGAGACUCAGUGAAAUUGAACUCGCUGUGAAGAUGCAGUGUACCCGCGGCAAGACGGAAAGACCCCGUGAACCUUUACUAUAGCUUGACACUGAACAUUGAGCCUUGAUGUGUAGGAUAGGUGGGAGGCUUUGAAGUGUGGACGCCAGUCUGCAUGGAGCCGACCUUGAAAUACCACCCUUUAAUGUUUGAUGUUCUAACGUGGACCCGUUACCCGGGUUGCGGACAGUGUCUGGUGGGUAGUUUGACUGGGGCGGUCUCCUCCUAAAGAGUAACGGAGGAGCACGAAGGUUGGCUAAUCCUGGUCGGACAUCAGGAGGUUAGUGCAAUGGCAUAAGCCAGCUUGACUGCGAGCGUGACGGCGCGAGCAGGUGCGAAAGCAGGUCAUAGUGAUCCGGUGGUUCUGAAUGGAAGGGCCAUCGCUCAACGGAUAAAAGGUACUCCGGGGAUAACAGGCUGAUACCGCCCAAGAGUUCAUAUCGACGGCGGUGUUUGGCACCUCGAUGUCGGCUCAUCACAUCCUGGGGCUGAAGUAGGUCCCAAGGGUAUGGCUGUUCGCCAUUUAAAGUGGUACGCGAGCUGGGUUUAGAACGUCGUGAGACAGUUCGGUCCCUAUCUGCCGUGGGCGCUGGAGAACUGAGGGGGGCUGCUCCUAGUACGAGAGGACCGGAGUGGACGCAUCACUGGUGUUCGGGUUGUCAUGCCAAUGGCACUGCCCGGUAGCUAAAUGCGGAAGAGAUAAGUGCUGAAAGCAUCUAAGCACGAAACUUGCCCCGAGAUGAGUUCUCCCUGAGAC